AAAUAAAUCAAAAAAAAUGAAAAAAGAGAAUAGACUCUCUAAUAUAGUAGACUGAAAUCAUUUAUAAGAGACGCUACGUGUCCAUGAUUGGUUGGCUAACAGAAUAAAACAAAAAGGAAUUUUUUUUUCACGCAGAAAAUCUCUUUCUCUCUUUCUCUUCCGAUCAAAGUGUCCAUCCGAUGUCAGAAAGGUCUGAUUUAAUCGGAAGUUAAUGAAUCAAUGGACUGUUGGGUCGUAGGCGAUUUGAAAUCCUAUCUCCCUCGAUUCCUAUCUCUCUCGAUUCUCCGAUUACCAAACCGUCGUCUUCUCCGUCCAAGAUCUGUAACGCGAUUACGUAUUUGAGCCGUUUUUUCUGAAUGCUCCGGUUAUUCAAUUUUCUGAUCGAUGACAUUGUCCAAGCGUUUGGCUCUAUUGGGAGCUCAAUCCGCGAUUUCUCGUUGAUACAUUGGCUAUGGGUUUUAGCGUAUCUUCUUCUGGGUGUUGUAAGGAUAUAUUCCAAGAAGGUGGACUUUUUGUUCAAUGAUUGCAACAAAGCUUUGAUCGGUGUAAAAGAGUUUGUGGCUAAGGAGAAGAACAGAGAAAAGACAGUUGUGCCAUUGCCUGCAUCUACUGCGUGUUUUUCCAUUGUUUUGCCUGCAUCUACCGCGUGUUUUUGACAUUACUUCUUGAUUCCAUUCCUUUUAUUCCAGUAAUUUCGUGAAUAUACAUGUUAUAACAAUAAUGCUUUGUGGAGUUGUAGUUUGACAUGGAUGAUGACCUCAUGUUUACGUUUCAUGAAACUUUCUCUGCCAAUCAGAAUGAAACCAAGCAUGAGAGUUUCGCUCAUGAUAUGGACAUGGACGCAGGAAAUGUCAGAAAUACUACUGAAGAAGCAUCAGUCAGAGUCACAGAAGCGGAACCACUGGAUGAUUCUAGAGAUCAUGAGAAUGCAUCUAUGGAAAGAGGGGAUCCAGAAUCAUAUGAUAUUAAUGUGGAACCGCAAAUGUCUGAAGAUAUAAGCAAAGCUCAAGAAGAACAUACAGUUAGAGAAACCAUAUGUACCAUUGUGCGGGGACUAGUGGAUCCUCAUGGAAUCUCAGACGAUAAUUUUUCAUCUGUUUUCAUUCUCUCUAUUUGUGAUUGUUUGUUGUAAUUUUAAAAGCUUGUUUGUUGCUGUAAUUUUGGAUCAAAGCUAUUCUAGGUGGUUGUUUCAUUUCGUCUCUUUGUUGUGAUUGUGAAUGCUAGUUGUUCCUUGUAUAAGCUUCAACAUAUGACAAUAUAUGGAAAUUGAAUAAGUUAUACACUGA
This is an RNA transcript of Camelina sativa (false flax), 1286 nucleotides long. It is a transcript of the gene named sister chromatid cohesion 1 protein 2, with no coding region annotated. The record is from RefSeq and is a predicted model, not a curated record. Lineage: Eukaryota; Viridiplantae; Streptophyta; Magnoliopsida; Brassicales; Brassicaceae.